RNAcentral lists this long non-coding RNA (376 nucleotides) under Monodelphis domestica (gray short-tailed opossum). RNAcentral's name for it is "lncRNA (ENSMODG00000041264.1)". Lineage: Eukaryota; Metazoa; Chordata; Mammalia; Didelphimorphia; Didelphidae. The record is from RNAcentral.
UCUAUCUGUAAAGCAUGGCAUGGCCAGAAAUCAGAUGACCUCAAAUAUGGUGAAUACCACAGCAGAGAGCUUUGAGUCUUUUGGUGGCGAUGAGCUUAAAGAUGACUUAGAAACAUCUGGCUUGAUUGCACAUAUGGCCAACCUGCAGUUUAACAAACAAAACCUACAAGACAAAAAUAACAAAUUUAACCUGGCAUUGGAAGCCUGGCCUAGAGGAAGCCAACAACCGAUUAGUGAAAGACUAUUCUGAACUGUGCAACCAAAUGAAAAGGUGAAUAUCUCGCUCUGUGUGGAUUGUGGUUACUCAGUUGUCUCAGUCAGGUCUGACCCCAUUUGGGUGCAAUGAUAGUGGAGUGGUUUGCUAUUUCCUUCUUCA